Molecule: long non-coding RNA, 652 nt
Filed under: Mytilus galloprovincialis (Mediterranean mussel)
Lineage: Eukaryota; Metazoa; Mollusca; Bivalvia; Mytilida; Mytilidae
Source: RNAcentral
AAAAAAUACUGGGCUUUUCAUAUAACAAGUAAUUGGAAUUGUAUAGACCUUAUUAUAUAUUUCUGAGUUUCCAAACCUAUUCAAUCAGCACUUUCUAUCACCUAGUGGUCCUCAAAUCGAUCAUAUGAUAAUAUACCAGUCAUUACCUGUAUAGAAUGUACCUUGUAUAAUCAGAUUAAUAUACAAAGCUUAUGGUCAAACUCGGUCUGCUGAGAAGGAUCUGAAAACGCUUUAUUGUACAUAGUGUCUUACAAACCUUUCCCCAAAGUAACUGAUGCAUGAAGUGAAGUUCAGAUGACUCAAUUUUUAUUAAAAGCUGCUGCACUAUAUUUGACUAUUAAGAAACUAAAGUUUCAACUCCCUCAGGCAAAGUUGGCUUUAGAUGGAUUUGGCUAUUUAUUUUAGGUAGUUUUAGCUCUUGACGGUUUCAGUACUUAUACAUCUUCGGAUUUCAAAAUGUUUGGAUUUGAGCGUUCUUGAUGAAGGUAAAUCCAGAAAAGCGCUUCAGACGCAAGAAAUUAUCAAACGUGUAGUUUAUAUUUUUCCGACGUAGUCGAUAUAGUUUCGGUUUGUGCCUUUUGAACUUAAUUAAGGACGCUUAACUAUGGCAACAGAAUACGCAUGCUCGAAAUUCUUUUCUGUGAUUGGAAAA